AAAUUUACAAUUUGGAGAUGUAAAUAUAAGGAGAUGUGGUAUGAUUGCCAAUGAGAAAACUAUUUACCGAAGACAUAAAGAUUACGAUGUAAAUAACUACAAACUCACUGUUAUGCAUUCAACUAUGCAUGAGACACAUUCAUACUUAAUAGUGUUCAAGUAAAAAAAAAAAAAAGAAACCAGCAUGGCAAAAUGUCAAACAAAUCAAAAUAAAAACCAACAGCCAGAUUAUUGAUAAAAACAAUAAAGAAAAAACAAAUACAGCAAAUGGCAACCAUGGAUAACAUCUGCACUUGUGUAAUUCAUAUUCAGAGAGGGAAAACUAAAUUAGAUAUCAGGUGAUGAACAUGAUUGAUAGUAAAUUGUAUG
This 369-nucleotide long non-coding RNA is filed under the name Mytilus galloprovincialis (Mediterranean mussel). The record is from RNAcentral. Lineage: Eukaryota; Metazoa; Mollusca; Bivalvia; Mytilida; Mytilidae.